UAUUAUGAUGAAUAAGAGCUUUUGCUCGACAAUAACCCAGCUCGUCGAGUGGCCUCGUUUAAUCUCACGUUGAGGUCACAUUGAGAAGAAGUCCUACCUGAUAUG
Molecule: small nucleolar RNA, 105 nt
Filed under: Paecilomyces variotii No. 5
Lineage: Eukaryota; Fungi; Ascomycota; Eurotiomycetes; Eurotiales; Thermoascaceae
Description: Byssochlamys spectabilis No. 5 A. fumigatus snoRNA Afu_304
Rfam family: A. fumigatus snoRNA Afu_304
Source: Rfam by way of RNAcentral